Molecule: small RNA, 399 nt
Filed under: Cryptococcus neoformans H99
Lineage: Eukaryota; Fungi; Basidiomycota; Tremellomycetes; Tremellales; Cryptococcaceae
Description: Cryptococcus neoformans var. grubii H99 hypothetical RNA
Source: RNAcentral
CCUGAAUGUUGGCCAAUUUUGCCUGACAUCCGUCAUACACAAUUUUUACUUCUCAUCACCGUUGCGAUUUUCUCCCAACGUUCUUCUCCACCCUUUCUUGAAUCUUGAAUAUAUAAAAAGACUUGUCCAAGAUAUGCGCACACGACAUGGCUACGCCUGUUGUAAGGAGCGGAAAGUAGUGAAAAGAAUGCGCUGGGCGGAGAAACAUCAAACCCUGUCAAAGGUACCAGGUAUCUGGAACUUUCCGCGGCGGAGAAUGUCUUCCAAACUUCAGAGUUGGUGUUGGCGAGUUUAAUCAGAUGCAUAAGCUUGGUACCAGUAGUCGAUAAUGAUCGCGUAGCUUGGGUGGGACGAUCUUUAAUAUAAGCCUUUUGCCAUUGCAAACUGAGCGUACGGUCA